RNAcentral lists this ribosomal RNA (547 nucleotides) under uncultured Glomeromycotina. RNAcentral's name for it is "SSU rRNA". It matches the Rfam family "Eukaryotic small subunit ribosomal RNA", at positions 548 to 1098 of the family's 1831-position model. The record is from RNAcentral. Lineage: Eukaryota; Fungi; Glomeromycota.
UUGGAGGGCAAGUCUGGUGCCAGCAGCCGCGGUAAUUCCAGCUCCAAUAGCGUAUAUUAAAGUUGUUGCAGUUAAAAAGCUCGUAGUUGAAUUUUGGGGUUCUUCCGUUGGUCAGACUAACAAGUCUGUACUAGCGUGUAGAAUCUCUACCUUCUGGGGAACCAUCAUAUUAUUAAUUUAGCAUGGUGGGAAACCAGGACCUUUACCUUGAAAAAAUUAGAGUGUUCAAAGCAGGCUUACGUCUGAAUACAUUAGCAUGGAAUAAUAAAAUAGGACGGUGGUCCUGUUUUGUUGGUUUCUGAAUCACCGUAAUGAUUAAUAGGGAUAGUUGGGGGCAUUAGUAUUCAAUUGUCAGAGGUGAAAUUCUUGGAUUUAUUGAAGACUAACUUCUGCGAAAGCAUUUGCCAAGGAUGUUUUCAUUAAUCAAGAACGAAAGUUAGGGGAUCGAAGACGAUCAGAUACCGUCGUAGUCUUAGCCAUAAACUAUGCCGACUAGGGAUCGGACGAUGUUAAAUUUUAUUGACUCGUUCGGCGCCUUACGGGAAAC